GCCGGCUUAGCUCAGUUGGUAGAGCACCUGAUUUGUAAUCAGGGGGUCGCGGGUUCGAUUCCUGCAGCCGGCACCG
RNAcentral lists this transfer RNA (76 nucleotides) under Sphingomonas baiyangensis. RNAcentral describes it as "Sphingomonas sp. L-1-4w-11 tRNA-Thr". It matches the Rfam family "tRNA". Rfam says of the family: Transfer RNA (tRNA) molecules are approximately 80 nucleotides in length. Their secondary structure includes four short double-helical elements and three loops (D, anti-codon, and T loops). Lineage: Bacteria; Pseudomonadati; Pseudomonadota; Alphaproteobacteria; Sphingomonadales; Sphingomonadaceae. The record is from RNAcentral.